Long non-coding RNA from Magallana angulata, 830 nucleotides. RefSeq lists it as uncharacterized. The record is from RefSeq and is a predicted model, not a curated record. The transcript has 3 exons. Lineage: Eukaryota; Metazoa; Mollusca; Bivalvia; Ostreida; Ostreidae.
AAUCGGAGUGUUGUGUGCCCUUGAACCGGAAGUUGUCAUAUUUCGUUAAUCUUAAGAUAGUUGACUAAAAAGGCAGGCCGUUUGAUGUUAUGUUUAAAAAAGCAACAAAAGAUUAUUUCCAAAAUCAUUUGUUGGAGGCACCGAAGCUCUGAUAUUCUGGUUGUCAAUAGUUACGAUGGUGAUGAAUUUUGGCUUCGCUAUGUGGAAGUUAGGGGACCCUGACUUUUCCAACCCCUUCUACGGAUACUCCUUUGGAAUGCCCCUCACCCAGGGGGUACUCUUCAUCCUCAUCUUCGUCGUUUACGGUGUCUACAGAUGCAGGGAACCAAAAAACAAGGCCUAUAGAUUAGGGCGACAGUGUACACAUAAGAUAUCAGUAGAUAGAUUUGAGUUUCGUUUUCUGCGCAAGAACUUGUCCUGUUGUAUACAAUUUAAUGUUGCUAUCCAAGAAUUUUAGAGGAAUGAUUAAUAGCAUCACAGAAAGACGGUAAAUGGAGCAUCAAUAACAUUAGCAUAAUUUAUCCUCGGUCUGUGCAUUUAAACAAGUAGUAUUUUGAUAUCAAACCUUAUAUCUUCUAUAUUCCAUAUCUCAAUUGUUGUAACAAAAUACUGGAGAUUUAUUUUGAAUGAAAUUUUUGGUUUGAUUACGUUUGUAUGUCUAAAAAAAUCAAACGGAUGCAGAAGGAGUUGUUGUUUGUUUUUAUUUGUUUAUUAUAUCAAAUGUACAUACUUAGUCAUAUCAGUAUAUAUCAUACACUGUAAUAUCUCAACAUCCUUAUCAGCAUCCGUGUACUACUUAGCGGCAAGUCAAAAUAAAUAUAAUCAAACAC